RNAcentral lists this transfer RNA (73 nucleotides) under Apaloderma vittatum (bar-tailed trogon). It matches the Rfam family "tRNA". Rfam says of the family: Transfer RNA (tRNA) molecules are approximately 80 nucleotides in length. Lineage: Eukaryota; Metazoa; Chordata; Aves; Trogoniformes; Trogonidae. The record is from Rfam by way of RNAcentral.
GGCCGGUUAGCUCAGUUGGUUAGAGCAUGGUGCUAAUAAUGCCAAGGUUGCAGGUUCAAUCCCCAUUCGGUCC